This 2418-nucleotide unclassified non-coding RNA is filed under the name Cimex lectularius (bed bug). RNAcentral describes it as "uncharacterized LOC106673485, transcript variant X3". Lineage: Eukaryota; Metazoa; Arthropoda; Insecta; Hemiptera; Cimicidae. The record is from RNAcentral.
UCUCUAACUCUGUGCUUUUCCUGUCGAAGCUUCAACAAAUAUUAGUAAACAAAGUUAAUUUCCUUCUAGGUCCCGGUCAUGCAGCGUCUAUAUUAAAAAGCGGCCGUCCUCAGGACCCGACCCAGGGCUUAUUUCACAUUUUUAAGUUUUAACUCUUCGACUUUUCUGCCCCGUGCGGCAAAUCGGACGGUUUCGCCGUUCGAUGUUUUUCUCCGUCGCUUCGCCGAUUUGAAUGAGACGAGUGUUUUUAUAACAACGGCCAUGUCUUCUGAACUGAUCGGAGAGCUUGGUCAAGUGGGUCUCACAAUUGGCCAGCCUAGGCAGAGACAAAUGGACGAUGAUGGGGAUAAAGAUGUCGAUCUGCUCUCUGAUGUCUCUUCCCCCCAUCAGUCAGAGCGGAAGAAGCCGCGCUACUCAAACCACAAGCCAAAGAAGUUCCGUUCCGCCUGGAUGAUGUUCGACAUAUUUAAAGACUGGCUCAGGCCGCACGCCAGUCCGGAGUUUGCGACAUGCAUAGUUUGUUGUCGUGUUAUUAAAGCUGGGAAAAGCGAACUGGAAAAGCACGCUACUGGUAAACGUCAUCUACGAAUGUUGAAGAUUCACAAAGGAGGAGGUCAGAACUCCGAAUCAAAAGAAGCCUCAGUUGAAAAUGUGGAAAAUGAUAGUAAUAGUGACUCAAAUUUUGGAGGAAAAGUAGAUCAUCAUUGUAAAGGUGAUUCUGUUGAUAGUUCACAAAACUCAGCUGAUCUCUUAUGUGAAGAACCUGUUAUUUCUAAAGCAGUAGUUACCAGGCCUGCUCCUCAUUGGAAGGCCACUGCAAUUGUGAACGGUCAUGUGACAAAAUUAGAUCUGAACGGAUACAAAGGCCGUUACGUGAUCUUGGUUUUCUACUGCAAUGACUUUUCGAAAGUGUGCUCAAGUGAGAUAACAGCGCUGAGCGACCGAUUGGGUGAGUUUCGAUCUCUGAAAACGGAAAUCGUCGCAUGUUCCACAGACUCUCACCUGGCGCAUUUGGUGUGGGUGAAGACCCCGAGGGGCGAAGGUGGAGUCGCUAAUCCCAAAAUACCCCUGCUCGCUGAUCCAAACCAUUCCAUCGCUAAAGACUACGGGGUUUACCUCAGUGAAAAGGGUCAUGCCCUCAGAUCACAUUUUGUUAUUGACCGACGAGGCAUUUUGAGGCAUAUGGCAGUCAACGAUUCUCUUGUUGGACGAGGAACUGAUGAGUUGUUAAGGCUACUGUAUGCGUUUCAGUGUGUCGAUGAUACUGAUGAGCCUCUUGUGGCUGACUGGACACCAAACACUAUGUAAAAUUUUCGCUGUUCAAUAGAUGCUCGCAGUCAAAUUCAAGUUACCUUGCCAAUUAGUACCAAAGAGUGCUUUUUAUUAAUUGGAUUUGUAGCAUUUUGAAUUGCUACAUAAUUGUAUAAUAUUUAUAGGAGUUAUUUUUAUGAGAAUAGACACUACAUUAAAAAAAAUGACAUUUUGUACUUUGAAAUUGUCAUUGAUAACUAAUAAGUUUCCAUACGUUUAUUAAGCGUAAGUUAUUAUUUGAAAUGAGUGUUUUUCAAUUUUAUAACUUUUUUCUUUCCACGUUUUAAAAUACUAUUACAUUCUUCCUUUAUUAUCAGUAUUCCAAAUCCAUAGGUACUUAUUAUUAUUAUUUUUUUGUUUGUUUUGUUUUAAUGAGCAUUAGGUAUUUUAUAACCAGUUAAUGUGUUUCACAUGCUGUGUUUGAAAUUCACUAAGAGCGCAAUACUUUUAUGUUAAAAAACAAAAAAAAUCCCCAUUUGUUAAAACAACCAGAUUUCUCAAGAUCUCAUCUUGAUUUGCUGUCAAAUUGAUCGGAAGACGUUUAUGUUAUCCUUACAGACUUAACAAGUUGUCAUACAUCUGACUAAUUUUGGGGAGGAUGAAGAAAUGCCGAAAAAAGUUCCCUGACAGAAGAUUCUUUGUAUGCCGAUAAGCCAAGAGUAAGACUUUUUUUGGGGGUUUGCUGUACUCCGAAAAAUAGGUCAAAUCAUAUUUGAAUAUUUGGAUGAUGUACAUUCUAUAAACGAAAUAAAAUUUGAAUAGAAUUAUUUUGAUAAUAUAACCAAUUUUGACCGGCGGUCGAGAUUCCUUCGUAUUGAAAACAGACAGUAAAAUUAUUGUUUUUCUUACCAACAGGUUUAAAUUUUAAUCACUUUUUAAUUUUUCUUUUUAGUCAGUAAUUACGGCAAAAUAUAUUUGAUUUUUUUUUUUUGACAUUUUCAUAUUUAUUAAUCUAUAAGACAAGACAUGAGAAAGAAGAAUGUAAUUAGCGAUAGUUAGUUGCUUUAAUUUUUUUUGGACAUGUAGUUAUACAAGUUUGUGAAUUACUCAUAAACCGAACAGAUUUUUGUACAUUCAAGUUUAUUGUUUUAAAUAAACAGAUUACAA